This 349-nucleotide unclassified non-coding RNA is filed under the name Hevea brasiliensis (rubber tree). The record is from RNAcentral. Lineage: Eukaryota; Viridiplantae; Streptophyta; Magnoliopsida; Malpighiales; Euphorbiaceae.
CGUUUUGAAAGAUUGCCAUGGGCAAGGAGAAAGAACACACCACAGCUCCCAGGAAACAAGUACAAGUGGAGUGAACCCAUUUUGCAAUCUUAAUUGGAUCGUUAAGAGAUUGUGGAUUUAUAAGGUUGUUUCCGUCUGAAUUUGGAUUGGAAGUCGAUUAUGGGAGUUUAAUUUUCCUACUCAUAUCUCUCUUCAAUUCUUGGACUUGGGAACUUGUUUUUGUGAUGUAAUAAUCGAUUAGGAUCCUCCAACAGCUAUUUCUUCCUUCAUUUUGAACAUUUCUGCUCAAAUUAAACAAAUUUGACACCAUCAACUUCAAACAUAUAAGCCAGAAUAUGAGCAAGAGGAG